AGGGAUACCCGCUGAACUUAAGCAUAUCAAUAAGCGGAGGAAAAGAAACCAACAGGGAUUGCCCUAGUAACGGCGAGUGAAGCGGCAACAGCUCAAAUUUGAAAGCUGGCCUUCGGGUCCGCAUUGUAAUUUGUAGAGGAUGCUUUGGGGCAGCCGCCUGUCUAAGUUCCUUGGAACAGGACGUCAUAGAGGGUGAGAAUCCCGUAUGUGACAGGACAUGGCACCCUAUGUAAAGCUCCUUCGACGAGUCGAGUUGUUUGGGAAUGCAGCUCUAAAUGGGAGGUAAAUUUCUUCUAAAGCUAAAUAUUGGCGAGAGACCGAUAGCGCACAAGUAGAGUGAUCGAAAGAUGAAAAGCACUUUGGAAAGAGAGUUAAAAAGCACGUGAAAUUGUUGAAAGGGAAGCGCUUGCAAUCAGACUUGUUCAAACCGUUCGGCCGGUCUUCUGACCGGUUUACUCGGUUUGGACAGGCCAGCAUCAGUUUCGGCGGCCGGAUAAAGGCUCUGGGAAUGUGGCCUCCACUUCGGUGGAGGUGUUAUAGCCCGGGGUGUAAUACGGCCAGCCGGGACUGAGGUCCGCGCUUCGGCUAGGAUGCUGGCGUAAUGGUUGUAAGCGACCCGUCUUAACA
Molecule: ribosomal RNA, 627 nt
Filed under: Aureobasidium sp. RBSS-125
Lineage: Eukaryota; Fungi; Ascomycota; Dothideomycetes; Dothideales; Saccotheciaceae
Description: eukaryotic LSU rRNA
Rfam family: Eukaryotic large subunit ribosomal RNA
Source: RNAcentral